RNAcentral lists this ribosomal RNA (403 nucleotides) under bacterium. RNAcentral's name for it is "partial 16S ribosomal RNA". It matches the Rfam family "Bacterial small subunit ribosomal RNA", at positions 355 to 776 of the family's 1533-position model. The record is from RNAcentral.
UGGGGAAUAUUGCACAAUGGAGGGAACUCUGAUGCAGCGACGCCGCGUGAACGAAGAAGGCUUUCGAGUCGUAAAGUUCUUUUAUAUGGGAAGAUAAUGACGGUACCAUAAGAAGAAGCCCCGGCUAACUACGUGCCAGCAGCCGCGGUAAUACGUAGGGGGCUAGCGUUGUCCGGAAUCACUGGGCGUAAAGGGUUCGCAGGCGGAAAUGCAAGUCAGGUGUAAAAGGCGGUAGCUUAACUACUGUAAGCAUUUGAAACUGCAUAUCUUGAGAAGAGUAGAGGUAAGUGGAAUUUUUAGUGUAGCGGUGAAAUGCGUAGAUAUUAAAAAGAAUACCGGUGGCGAAGGCGACUUACUGGGCUCAUUCUGACGCUGAGGAACGAAAGCGUGGGUAGCAAACAGG